Molecule: microRNA precursor, 103 nt
Filed under: Trifolium pratense (red clover)
Lineage: Eukaryota; Viridiplantae; Streptophyta; Magnoliopsida; Fabales; Fabaceae
Description: pre miRNA MIR396
Rfam family: MIR396 microRNA precursor family
Source: Rfam by way of RNAcentral
GGUCAUCUUUUUCCACAGCUUUCUUGAACUUCUUUUGUAUCUUAAAUCUCUUCAAAGAUUAAAAGCCCUAGAAGCUCAAGAAAGCUGUGGGAGAAUAUGGCAA